RNAcentral lists this ribosomal RNA (1417 nucleotides) under uncultured bacterium. Its description in RNAcentral is "bacterial SSU rRNA". It matches the Rfam family "Bacterial small subunit ribosomal RNA". The record is from RNAcentral.
CGUACGCUGGCGGCACGCCUAACACAUGCAAGUCGAACGAAGUAGCAAUACUUAGUGGCAGACGGGUGAGUAACAUGUAGGUAUCUGCCCUUUGGCCUGGAAUAACACGAGGAAACUUGUGCUAAUACCGGAUAAGUCUUUACGGAGAAAGCUUUAUGCACCAUUGGAUGAGCCUGCACUUGAUUAGUUUGUUGGUGGGGUAAUGGCCUACCAAGACUGUGAUCAAUAGCUGAUUUGAGAGGAUGAUCAGCCACAUUGGGACUGAGACACGGCCCAAACUCCUACGGGAGGCAGCAGUGGGGAAUCUUGCACAAUGGAGGAAACUCUGAUGCAGCGAUGCCGCGUGAGUGAAGAAGGCCCUUGGGUUGUAAAGCUCUUUCGUCGGGGAAGAAAAUGACUGUACCCGAAUAAGAAGGUCCGGCUAACUUCGUGCCAGCAGCCGCGGUAAUACGAAGGGACCUAGCGUAGUUCGGAAUUACUGGGCUUAAAGAGUUCGUAGGUGGUUGAAAAAGUUAGUGGUGAAAUCCCAGAGCUUAACUCUGGAACUGCCAUUAAAACUUUUCAGCUAGAGUAUGAUAGAGGAAAGCAGAAUUUCUAGUGUAGAGGUGAAAUUCGUAGAUAUUAGAAAGAAUACCAAUUGCGAAGGCAGCUUUCUGGAUCAUUACUGACACUGAGGAACGAAAGCAUGGGUAGCGAAGAGGAUUAGAUACCCUCGUAGUCCAUGCCGUAAACGAUGUGUGUUAGACGUUGGAAAUUUAUUUUCAGUGUCGCAGGGAAACCGAUAAACACACCGCCUGGGGAGUACGACCGCAAGGUUAAAACUCAAAUGAAUUGACGGGGACCCGCACAAGUAGUGGAGCAUGUGGUUUAAUUCGAAGAUACGCGCAGAACCUUACCAACACUUGACAUGUUCGUCGCGACUCUAAGAGAUUAGAGUUUUCGGUUCGGCCGGACGAAACACAGGUGCUGCAUGGCUGUCGUCAGCUCGUGUCGUGAGAUGUUGGGUUAAGUCCCGCAACGAGCGCAACCCUCACUUUUAGUUGCCAUCAUUAAGUUGGGCACUCUGAAAGAACUGCCAGUGAUAAGCUGGAGGAAGGUGGGGAUGACGUCAAGUCCUCAUGGCCCUUACGUGUUGGGCUACACACGUGCUACAAUGGUAUCUACAACAGGAAGCAAGACUGCGAAGUUAAGCAAAUCCCUAAAAGAUACCUCAGUUCGGAUUGCACUCUGCAACUCGAGUGCAUGAAGCUGGAAUUACUAGUAAUCGUGGAUCAGCGUGCCACGGUGAAUGCGUUCCCGGGUCUUGUACACACCGCCCGUCACACCAUGGGAGUUGGUUCUACCUUAAGGCAAGGUUUCAAACCCUUGACCACGGUAUAGUCAGCGACUGGGGUGAAGUCGUAACAAGGUAGCCGUA